UUAGGAAUAUUGCACAAUGGGGGAAACCCUGAUGCAGCGAUGCCGCGUGAAGGAAGAAGGGUUUCGGCUCGUAAACUUUUAUCGAUAGUGAAGAAACAAAUGACGGUAACUAAGUAAGAAGCCCCGGCAAACUAUGUGCCAGCAGCCGCGGUAAUACAUAGGGGGCAAGCGUUAUCCGGAUUUACUGGGUGUAAAGGGUGCGUAGGCGGCAUAUCAAGUCAGUUGUGAAAGACCGGUGCUUAACAUCGGGAACGCAACUGAAACUGAUAAGCUAGAGUAAAGGAGAGGCAAGUGGAAUUACUAGUGUAGAGGUGGAAUUCGUAGAUAUUAGUAAGAACACCAGUGGCGAAGGCGACUUGCUGGCCUUAUACAGACGCUGAGGCACGAAAGUGUGGGGAGCAAACA
RNAcentral lists this ribosomal RNA (405 nucleotides) under uncultured Eubacteriales bacterium. RNAcentral's name for it is "uncultured Clostridiales bacterium partial 16S ribosomal RNA". It matches the Rfam family "Bacterial small subunit ribosomal RNA", at positions 355 to 774 of the family's 1533-position model. The record is from RNAcentral. Lineage: Bacteria; Bacillati; Bacillota; Clostridia; Eubacteriales.